GGAUAGCAGUGAUGAGCUGAUGUACUACGUCGACCGCUGGCUUGCCCCUGACAAAGUUGAUGGUUCAAUCUGUAGAGAACUGCAGUACGGAAAGGCACCCCUAGCCUGCCAGUGUUAUGCUAUAAGAUUGCUGUGACAACAGGAAGUUACAAGGAUGCUGGGGUGGACAAUGCAAAUGUAUUACUCAAUCUGAUUGGUGUAGAUGGAGAUAUUGGCUUGAGGGACCUCACUGGAGCCAUUUCUAGAAGUAGAUUCCCUUGGCAGCCUGGACAAACUGACAUUGUUGAAGCCGUUUCUGUUGGAAAAUAAAUAAAAAUGAAGUGACCUUCGGCAGUCCUGAUCAAGAUACCCUUGCAUCAGUGUGAUGCUUUGAUUGGUGCAGUCAAUGAA
Molecule: long non-coding RNA, 390 nt
Organism: Mya arenaria
Lineage: Eukaryota; Metazoa; Mollusca; Bivalvia; Myida; Myidae
Exons: 3
Source: RefSeq, a predicted model, not a curated record